GCGGUGCCAAGGUAGGGGCUAUUGUUGCCCUCCGAAGGCAAAGGUCGUACGUUCGAAUCGUAUCGGGUGCGCCA
RNAcentral lists this transfer RNA (74 nucleotides) under Rhodospirillaceae bacterium. RNAcentral describes it as "tRNA-Arg". The record is from RNAcentral. Lineage: Bacteria; Pseudomonadati; Pseudomonadota; Alphaproteobacteria; Rhodospirillales; Rhodospirillaceae.